Molecule: long non-coding RNA, 379 nt
Organism: Gossypium raimondii (Peruvian cotton)
Lineage: Eukaryota; Viridiplantae; Streptophyta; Magnoliopsida; Malvales; Malvaceae
Exons: 2
Source: RefSeq, a predicted model, not a curated record
UUCAUUUCUUCCAUGCCCAAACAUCUUGGAUUAAUUCAGACAAUGUCGAAGCUCUCCUUCAGAUUGUUCUUUGCCAUCCUCCUUAUUUCCUCAGUUUGUCUGAUGAUGCAUGAAGUCCAUGGACAAGAAAUGUGCCAUGGACGAAUCCCUGGUGAUGGUUCUUGUGACGCUGGAACUUGCAGCAGCCAAUGUGGUCAAUCCUUCCCAGGAAGCCAGGGAAGUUGCGUUCAGACAUUUAUCAAUCGUUUCACUUGUCAGUGUACCUGGCCUUGCAGUUAGUGAAACAACAACCUAACCUUGUUCAUCUUCCUCAUUUCUCUGCUUUAUGUAAUAAAUAUAGCUUUCGUUUUGAACCAAUAUAUCAGCUAUUUUGAAUCUA